RNAcentral lists this ribosomal RNA (387 nucleotides) under uncultured bacterium. RNAcentral's name for it is "bacterial SSU rRNA". It matches the Rfam family "Bacterial small subunit ribosomal RNA", at positions 28 to 416 of the family's 1533-position model. The record is from RNAcentral.
GACGAACGCUGGCGGCGUGCUUAACACAUGCAAGUCGAACGGAAAGGCCCAGCUUGCUGGGUACUCGAGUGGCGAACGGUGAGUAACACGUGGGUGAUCUGCCCCAAACUUCGGGAUAAGCCUGGGAAACUGGGUCUAAUACCGGAUAUGACCUGCUCCUGCAUGGGGGUUGGUGGAAAGCUUUUGCGGUUUGGGAUGGGCCCGCGGCCUAUCAGCUUGUUGGUGGGGUAAUGGCCUACCAAGGCGACGACGGGUAGCCGACCUGAGAGGGUGAUCGGCCACACUGGGACUGAGACACGGCCCAGACUCCUACGGGAGGCAGCAGUGGGGAAUAUUGCACAAUGGGCGCAAGCCUGAUGCAGCGACGCCGCGUGAGGGAUGACGGCC